UGGGGAUUGAACCCAGGACCUCGUACUUGGGAAGUACGUGCUCAACCACUGAGCUAUAACCCUCCCUACUGUUUUUAUUUUGAGGUAUGAAAUUCAAGACUACUCAAGAAUGAAGUGAAAGAAUGGAAAUAGAAGCCACUGGAUCUGCCACCAAGGCGGCUUGGUUUUCUUUUCACAUGAAGUUGUACAAUGGUAGAUGGAGUGAUGAUUCUUCCUGUGCUAAUGGUGAUUGCCUUCCCUUCCCCUAGUAUGGAAGGUAAGUGACUCAGAGUAAUUUGGGUUAUUAUAAGCCAGGCAGUUCUUAAUGCUAUCAGAUGCCACACAC
RNAcentral lists this long non-coding RNA (325 nucleotides) under Dasypus novemcinctus (nine-banded armadillo). RNAcentral's name for it is "lncRNA (ENSDNOG00000050985.1)". Lineage: Eukaryota; Metazoa; Chordata; Mammalia; Cingulata; Dasypodidae. The record is from RNAcentral.